Molecule: ribosomal RNA, 415 nt
Filed under: uncultured bacterium
Lineage: Bacteria
Description: bacterial SSU rRNA
Rfam family: Bacterial small subunit ribosomal RNA
Source: RNAcentral
UGUGCCAGCAGCCGCGGUAAUACAUAGGUGGCAAGCAUUGUUCGGAUUUACUAGGCGUAAAGGGAGCGUAGGUGGCUUUGUAAGUUGGAAGUGAAAUUCCACAGCUUAACUGUGGAACUGCUUCCAAGACUGCUUAGCUUGAGUAUAGGAGAGGAAGAUGGAAUUCCUGGUGUAGCGGUGAAAUGCGUAGAUGUCAGGAAGAACACCGGUGGCGAAGGCGAUUUUCUGGCUUAACACUGACACUGAGGCUCGAAAGCUAGGGGAGCAAAUAGGAUUAGAUACCCUGGUAGUCCUAGCUGUAAACGAUGAUCAUUAGGUGUAGGAGGUAUCGACCCCUUCUGUGCCGAAGCUAACGCAUUAAAUGAUCCGCCUGGGGAGUACGGCCGCAAGGUUGAAACUCAAAGAAAUUGACGGG